CUAAAAUUAAUAAUAAAAAAUUUAUCAAUUUAUUUUGUAUCUUAGUUUAUUGAGGAUAAGCUCAGUAAAAAUAAUAAAAUAGUAUAUAUCUCAUUUAAUUAACCACAUGGGCUUGAAAUUAGCCAUUAUAUUAAAGUUUGUUACAAAAUAGUCUUUAUAUGCAGAAAGAUUAAUAUACUUUUUUUUAUAGGGGUAAUACGAAAAACCAAGAUAUCUUGAUUCACUUAUGCUAGGAUGAGUAUUGAUGUAUAAGAUAUAUAAACAAAAAUAAAAAAAUACAUAAAAUAACUUUACUUAAAAUAAAAUAAGAAUAAGGAAUUCAGCAAACGCUUAGCUCCGCCUGUUUAUCAAAAACAUGGCUCUUUGUUAAUCAGAUAUAAAGAGUCGGACCUGCCCAGUGAAGUUUUAACGGCCGCGGUACUCUGACCGUGCAAAGGUAGCAUAAUCAUUUGCCUUAUAAUUGAAGGCUUGUAUGAAUGGUUUGACGGGAGCAUUACUGUCUUUUUCUUACCUUAUAGAACUUGACCUCUAGGUGAAGAGGCCUAGAUACAGUUGAAAGACAAAAAGACCCUGUCGAGCUUAAAAAUGGAUCAGAAUAAUUUUAUUAUUAAAGAUUAAUUACUGACUAAUUUUUUUGGUUGGGGCGACCAAGGAACAAAAAAGCUUCCUCUACUUUCUUAGCUGAUAAGCAUAGAUCCAGAAAAAGCUGAUUAAAAGAAAUAGUUACCGCAGGGAUAACAGCAUAAUCUCUCUUGAGAGACCUAAUCGAAAGAGGGGAUUGUGACCUCGAUGUUGGACUAGAAUAUCCCAAAGACGCAGAAGUCU
Molecule: ribosomal RNA, 825 nt
Filed under: Tylomelania sp. ZMB 190844.5
Lineage: Eukaryota; Metazoa; Mollusca; Gastropoda; Pachychilidae
Description: partial 16S ribosomal RNA
Rfam family: Bacterial large subunit ribosomal RNA
Source: RNAcentral